This 449-nucleotide long non-coding RNA is filed under the name Vulpes vulpes (red fox). RNAcentral's name for it is "lncRNA (ENSVVUG00000016348.1)". The record is from RNAcentral. Lineage: Eukaryota; Metazoa; Chordata; Mammalia; Carnivora; Canidae.
CUAGAACUGCACUGUCCAACACAGUAGCCAACAGCAACAUGUGGCUACUUAAUUAAAAUGAGAUAAAAUUAAAAUCCAGUCCCAAGAACCAGCUGCACUCAAGUGCUCUGUGGCCACAUGCGCCUCCGGCCACACUGGGCAGCACCGAGUGUUUCCAUCACAGAAAGUGCUCAUGGACAGCAGUGCUCCAGAAAAACAGAUAUCAAAAAAUGGCCAGUGCAUCUCUUCGGUUUUAAUACCUGGAAGACGCAAGCAGUUUGUCAUUUGGUCCUGUGUGAAAGCUAGAGCCUUCUCCUUUGUAAUGCCAUCUGAUCUACAGGGACGGAGCCAUCUCCUCAUCCGUCAGGACCUCACUAACCCACUACAUUGGCAAACCAUGUGCAUGGAUCCCUGAAAUAAGCAGUAAGUACCUUCUACAUUUUAGUAAGGCCAAUAUGGUAAGUUUUAAC